Molecule: long non-coding RNA, 868 nt
Organism: Pleuronectes platessa (European plaice)
Lineage: Eukaryota; Metazoa; Chordata; Actinopteri; Pleuronectiformes; Pleuronectidae
Exons: 2
Source: RefSeq, a predicted model, not a curated record
AAAUUGUAGUUUUUGUAUUACUACCCCAAGCUUCCAUAAGUGGGUCAAAAAUGACCCGCAUGCAUUUUCUAUGGAAUCCAAUGGGAACCUUUGGUUUUUAUCAACUGUGGCUGUCAGGAAUAAAAUAACUGUGGACCACACAGACUAUAUCAGAAGUUUCACCCCUCAAGAAGAUUAUUUUACACAGCAAGAGCUGCUACGUGUGUCAUGGCUGCUAGAUACACAGCUGAAAUGGUCCUACAGAUGCUGGAUGAUGGAGAGGCAGUUAUGGGGUUGGACUCCGAGUCUGACAUUUCUGAUGAUGAGGACCCAGACUAUUGUCCAGGUGGCAGUGGCAGUCGUCCACCUGGAAAUCCAACUGAACAGGAUCAAUCUGACUCAGAAGAUUCCUCUUCUGUGUCCAACAGAAUGAGUCGGACGGGCUCUUACUGGAGAGAGUUACCUCCCACCCAGGGCAGGUAACUCGCCCUGGGUGGGAGGUAACUUCCACCCAGAAGUCGGUCAGGGUAUCCUCCCACAAUAUCCUCAGAAGUCGGUCAGGGCCUGCACAAGGGGCCUGGCCUGCACAAGGGCUUAGCACCACUUAGCAUGGGAGCUCUUUAUCACUGAUGAUAUAAUACAAGAGGUGAUGAAGAGCACAAACUUGGAAGGACGGGGAGUAGCAACAGGUUGAGGAAAAGAAUGGAAAAAUGUAACCAAAGAUGAAUUCAUGGCCUUCAUUGGAUUGACCCUGCUUGCAGGAAGUGAGAAGAACUGGGAUGUAUCAGUCUGUGACAAUGGAUGUUCACAUUUUUCUAUUGCUGUUUUGGCUAAUUUUCUUUUUCAAAAAUGCUAGAAAGUGAAAAAUAAAGAUAUUUCAAACUUGAAA